RNAcentral lists this ribosomal RNA (427 nucleotides) under uncultured bacterium. RNAcentral's name for it is "partial 16S ribosomal RNA". It matches the Rfam family "Bacterial small subunit ribosomal RNA", at positions 355 to 774 of the family's 1533-position model. The record is from RNAcentral.
UGGGGAAUAUUGCACAAUGGGCGCAAGCCUGAUGCAGCAAUGCCGCGUGUAUGAAGAAGGCCUUCGGGUUGUAAAGUACUUUCAGCGGGGAGGAAGGUGUUGAGGUUAAUAACCUCAGCAAUUGACGUUACCCGCAGAAGAAGCACCGGCUAACUCCGUGCCAGCAGCCGCGGUAAUACGGAGGGUGCAAGCGUUAAUCGGAAUUACUGGGCGUAAAGCGCACGCAGGCGGUCUGUCAAGUCGGAUGUGAAAUCCCCGGGCUCAACCUGGGAACUGCAUUCGAAACUGGCAGGCUAGAGUCUUGUAGAGGGGGGUAGAAUUCCAGGUGUAGCGGUGAAAUGCGUAGAGAUCUGGAGGAAUACCGGUGGCGAAGGCGGCCCCCUGGACAAAGACUGACGCUCAGGUGCGAAAGCGUGGGGAGCAAACA